Molecule: non-coding RNA, 4277 nt
Organism: Chlorocebus sabaeus (green monkey)
Lineage: Eukaryota; Metazoa; Chordata; Mammalia; Primates; Cercopithecidae
Source: RefSeq, a predicted model, not a curated record
AACGCCUGACCUCAGGGGAUCCACACGCCUCCGCCUCGCAAAGUGCUGGGAUUACAGCCCAUAGGGGAGACUGUCAGGCCAGCGUGGGGACUAAUGAAUAAAUGCUACACUGUGCCCACUCAGGUGGGUAAGGGCUGGCACUCCUCUACCCCUGGAGUGCGGUGGCUAUGCUGCCCCCCUUGGCAGACACAGUAAGGGGGACUGCACCUGGAGAAGAUGGGCCAGUCAGGAAAGGACUGCUCGCCACUCAUAGCUGUGUGUCACCCCUCCCACCUCCCUCUGUGGAGACGCAAAGUCAAGAGUAGGAAGAAGCCAGCCUCUGAGGUCAUGAUCCCCAGGGGACCUGGAGGACUGAAUGAUGCUGCCCCCGAGGAGGCUGCUGUCUUGUCUUAGGAGGGAGAGCAGGUGAAGUCCCCAUGGGAGGAAGCACCUAGCCCCAUUCCUGCUGAGCAAGAAGAGGUGGCAGGGACCCCAGACUGGGAGAGGCCUCUGAGGACAGCAAAGAGCAUAAGGCCCUGGGACUGGUUCCCCGUGCUCAUGACAGAGCUCUGCCUGGACUGGCUCUCAGCCUCCAACACCCUCAAGACUCCGAACUGUGAAGAAAAAGUUUCCAAUAAUUCCAAGAGUUGCUGCUGCUAUAGGCUUUGCUGCUGCUACAGGCCCUGCUGCUGCCUUUUGGGGCCUCCGUCUUCAGAGAAACCCAGUGUGGCUUCAUCCACACUCCCUGUCCCCACAGCUGCAGGAACAGCACUUCCUGCCACCGAGCCAUGUCACCACAAUGGAUUGUCUCUGGAAGGGACAAGGGGGCCCUGGCCGGCCUUCCAACUGACUCGGUGCCAGGGGAUGGACCAACGUCCCUCUCGUGCUGACAGCCGGGCCACACCCUGGCAAGAGGGCAUUUACAGAAAUGCUGGCGGGAACCGCUGCCAGGGAUGCUGUAGGGUCCUCUGGCAAAAGAAGUCUCAGGUGGCUUCUCAGAGUGUCUGUGGUUCUCUAUCCCAGGCUCUUCCCUAAGAGGGUCUGCCCAGGACUCAGGCCCUUCCUCUAGCAGUGGACUCUCUAGGAAUGUCCUUUCCCAAACCCUCUGCAAAUCCUGUUCCUCGGAGGCCCCACUGCAGCCCUGGCACUUCUCAGGAGCUCGCCCUGCAGAGACCCCGGGGUCCAUCACUCUGCACCUCGCGCAGGAAGCCUGACUCCUCCUUCAGUGCCUCAUGUGUUAAGUCAAACAGCCUGAGGAAGCGAGGGUCGUCGUACUCAAAGCGGCGCCCAUAGGUGAGGGAGGCUAUCACGUUGCUCACUGCUUUAUCCAGGAGGCUGUUGGGGCGAAAGGGUCGUCCUGGGGGCGGGAGAUGCGGGUCAGGGGUCACCUUCCCCGUCCCCCGCCUUCCCAGUUCCCGCCUUGUGCCCCUCUGCCCAUCACCCACCAGCUUGGUCGGCGAAGGCGGCACAGAGGCAGGCGGCCUCCUCGGUCACCCAUUGCUCCAGCGACUUCUUGCCCAGGCCCAAGUUGCGCAAGGUGGAAACGGAGAAGCGCCUCUGCUCGCGCCACGCGGGCCCAUAGCGCGCCAGGAACACCCCUGGGGGCAGGACAGGCAGGUGCGAGUGGCCAUGAAGUCCUUGGCCCCACCCUCUGCCACCCACUGCAACCCAGCGCUACCCAAGGUCUCCCGCAGUCCCUCGCCUGGUCCAGCUGGGCACAGGGCCCACCCUGCUUACCUGCCUUGCUUCCCUGGCUGGGGCAGGUUUUUGCCCCACCCCUUCUCUGCCCACCCUGACCGCCUUUCCACUCAGGGAAGAUCCCGCAUGCCCCGCCCCACCUACGCUGAACCCACGCACAGGCGCUGACGCCGUUCCCCUCUUCGACACCUGAUUCCAGCUGGGAAAGGCGCCAUCCUCACCCACCCGGCUCCUGGCGGGUCUGGGCAGUGGCCCCGCCCACUCGUCGCAAGCCCCGCCCUCAUCCCUAGGCUCACACCUCCCCAGUGCAGGUGGUUUCCUGGCCCGCUGUCCCCACUGGCUGGCCUUUCUGUUUCACAUCCACGACCCCGCGCCCUCUCCGCCCAGCUCGGACUUCGGUCACCGCCCACCCAGGGCCCACGGAAAUGAGGUCUCUGUGCCCACUGCCACUUGCCUUGGGAGCGCGGCCCAAAACCCAGGACCUGGUUGAUGGGCACAGGCGGGCGGUCGGCUGUGUCCUCGCCGUAGGUCACCAGCGCCUCGCGCACGGCCGCCAACCCAUUGAGCACGACCACCGGCGUCCAGGCCAGCUGCAGGCUGAACACGUCCCCGAAGCGGCGCCGCAACUGCAGAGGGAGGGUCAGGGCCUCCAUCAAGCCAGGGUCCCCCCCACCCAGACUGCAGGUCCUAGUCCUGUUUGAGCCUUGGGUGACCCCCGGGGAUACCAGGAGUGAGCAGGUGGAAGGAGGAGACCUGGCCUCAUAAUCCUGAGGUGGGGGUGGGGUUCACACCUUCUAUGAUGGAGGAACUCAGUUUGGAUGCAUCACCCAGCUAUGACCUUAUAAGGGUCACCAAAAUUGCCGAUAGACCCCAGUUAGCAUCCCAUUUUACAGAUGAUGGUCCAUGCCAGUGAGCAGUGAGGCCUGAGGACCCACAGUGCAAAAGGUUUGAACCGGGUCACUGCACACCCUUCAUCCUUGAUUUCCUGAUUUAAACGGCACUCAGGACCCUGACUUGUCUUCCAUUCCUAAGUCCUUUCCUUCUGGUGUCAGCAGAAGGGACUUUGUGCUCCAUAACAUAUUGUGCCCAAUGGGCUUGCACGCCCACUGCCAAGUCCAGCUCCACCUCCAGGCCCUUGCCCUACUCUUCCUUGGUUUUUGGAAAAUCCAGUCCUUCGUGCCCUCCCCCUGGAAGUCCCCCAAACCUGCUUCCCCUUCUCAGCCUGGCUUCUGGUCCAGCCUGUGGUUUCACCCACUACCCGUGUUUGCUGCUGGUGGGGGAUCCUCAGGACUUCUGCCACCCUCCAGGACCUCCUCCCUCACCUGGUCGAAGCAGUAUGGUGUGUUCUUGAAGUCCACAUGCAACAGGUUGCCCAGCCCCGGCAGUGGCAGGGGACCUGGCGGGUAGCGUGCAGCCCAGCGUUGGCGCCGGUGCAUCAGGUCCACCAGGAGCAGGAAGAUGGCCACUGUCACAGCCAGGGGCACCAGUGCAUCUAGCUCCAUAGCUGCCUCACUGCCCCCUGGGCUCCUCUGGACACACCUGGCUCCCCCACCGCACCAGGCACAGAGGACGAGGCAGGACACUCUCAGCACACCAAGUGCGUGAUCAUUCCCUUAUAAAGGAAGCUGAUCAUGGCCUUUGCCCUCUGCUGUGAGCCAACCUGCUGUUUUGAUUGUACUGCCAGUGGGUACAGGGUCAGGCCAGGGCGGGUAGGGGCUGCUCCAGAGGUCUUUGCCCCUGCUGCCCGCUCCAGGCCCUUACCCAGGGUAGGGCAGUGGAGGGGCCUGGUCGGAGAAGUCACUCCCUCUCCCCACUCCCAGCUUCUCAAGCCCGCACAGGCUUCUGGGAUAACCAAGGUCUCAGUGCACCCUGCCAUCCACCUCUCUGCUAGGCUCAUACACCCUAAUGUGGUCACAACCCCUCCUCCAGAACAUGGCCUUCCCCUUUCCUUACCCCACCUACCCAUUCCAGAGUGGCCUUUACCACCCUUAUCUGUCACUGGCACUUACCUGGGGCCUUAGGGAGCUCAUGAUGAUCAGAGACGCCAUGGGCCUGGUCCCUUCACACUGCACUCUUGACAUGCACAGACGCUAUGCACACCCCUGACGGUGCACAGACCUCUUGUCCACUCCCAGACACUUGUCCACACUUGCAGGGACACGAUCACACACCCACAAAAUCACCCACACGAAAACAGUACUCACAUGCACACAGACUCACACUGACACUCGGCACACGCAUUGUCACACACACACAUACAGACCCAGCACCAAGUACCGCACUUCUCAGCCAUGCCUGAGGUUUCCUGCGUGGGAUUUCUCCUGUCCAGAGGCUGCUCCCAGUGAGCCUCAAAGCUGUCACCUGGAUCCCAGCCCAGCCCGCAUUCCUGGGCUCCGGCCUGGCCAUGGCUUCUUGUUUGCAACAGGGCUGUUCCCAGAGCUUCCAGUUGGUAACCUGAAGGCCCUUGCCCCAGCCUGUGACAACAUCCUUCAGGGCUGCCUGAGGGCCGUCGUCCUCCACUGCUUUCUGGCCUCCAUGUUUCUGAUUAGAAAUCUGGUGGGAACGUUAUGGAGGAUCCUUUGUUCAGGAUAUGUUGACUU